UCAUGAGGUUGGUACACAAGUUGUCCUGGCUUGCUGCCAAAUCACAAUUCUACCUAGUCUGCCAAUACAUCCCGGGAAAAUCUAACACAGCAGCUGACGCUCUUUCCUUGAUCUCGUUUUUAGGUAUUCUUCCAGGUACACCCCUCUGCCAACAACCAACAAUCCAGGAUACCGACAUUCCACAAAUUAAUUAUGGACUAACUGAACUGCUACAACAUGCCCAAUCACUCACGCACAGCGCACUCUCAGCUAACACCAAGACCACUUACUGAC
Non-coding RNA from Pelobates cultripes (western spadefoot toad), 273 nucleotides. The record is from the annotation of a GenBank genome assembly. NCBI's taxonomy places the organism in Eukaryota, Metazoa, Chordata, Amphibia, Anura, Pelobatidae.